Molecule: long non-coding RNA, 1668 nt
Organism: Aegilops tauschii subsp. strangulata
Lineage: Eukaryota; Viridiplantae; Streptophyta; Magnoliopsida; Poales; Poaceae
Source: RefSeq, a predicted model, not a curated record
CCGGCUUCUCUUCCACCCAGCUCCUCCUCCCCGUGCCUUCCUUCCUCCCGUCUCGUUCUCCGCUCGUCGACUUCCAUGUCCAAUCGAGGCGCUCGGAGGUAGUACCGGGGCAAGUACCACUGGUGCGACGUCCAGGCCAGCCCACACCGUCCGGGGGUUCCGUGCUCGGCUAGAUCUGACGAUCUAGCUGCCGGAUCCACCGCGGCAGCAACGCCGGCUGCUACCUCCUCUCCGACCCCGACCACCACACCACCCCAACUCCAGCGCGCGACCCUCUACUCUAUCCAUCAUUUCCGUCCACGGCCAGAACCAGCAAUCUUGCUGCCGGAUCGGUGGCGGCGGUUCCUCAUGGUGGCGUCCCCUGUCAUCUCGCUUCAGCCUCCUCCCGACGACGCGCCGGGGGGCUGGGUCCAGGGCCGGCCCUUGGCCAUGGCAAUGAGUGCAGCCGCCUAUGGCCCAGGUCAAGCGGGGGCCAUGCUGCUCUACUUUAUGGAUACACGUAUGAGUAGAAGAAAAGGUAAACUGAUGAAAUAGUAGUGGUAGGCUCAACCUAUUACGGAGUGAGGAACCAGUCACGCACGAAAGUGAGAACAGCUGAACAGCCAGCCUAAUUGUUAGGUACUCUAUUAAAAAAAAAGUUAUCUCCGAGAUAGCACUGAUGUCUCUCGUUCAUCACCCAGUCUUCUCGUCUCCUUUCUUUGCUAAUUAUUUGAAUCAAUUUCCCAAGAGGCUGGGCGCCCAAACCGAUGCUAAUUGAAUAAAAAAUUUCUCUGUAUCACUACCUUAACCUCUUCAUUAUCCAAGCAGGACCCCAGCCUUUUGUCCUUCCAUCUUAAAAGUAUCCUAAGGAGACUGAUGAAGCAGCACAUUCGGUGAUUGGCCAGUGAGGCGUUGACAGCAGCCCACGUCCACAGGUUAGUUGUUUCUCUUCUGGAUUGCCCAUCUUUCCUUGUUGAUUGCGAAUUUUGUGAAAGAUUUCUUUGCAUGAAAUUGUUGCACAAGUUGUUGCCUCGUAUUAAUGGUGAUCGAGUAUCAUCAAAUCCGCACAUGAUGAUUAGAUACUGCUUUGUUAUUAUGUUGUGGGAUUUCUCUGUAGCUACUUGCAUAGAAGGCGUCUGUGCUUUUGUCCAAAACUGCUAUCUGUAGGCACAUCGUAAAAUAUGCGUGCGGCGGUGCUUGCAUCGACCUCACGCCUAUCUUCCCCAUCCAUGGCGCACGAAUCCUCAAGGAGGACAACACCGACACCACGUGUGGUUACCGCAGCCACGGCGACGAUGUCCAGUUCUACUUCGUCUCUGGCUCCGCUGCUCAGGAUUAUUUGCUGCAUUUACGAGAGCGAGAAUGGCAUCAUCGACUUCUACCUCCUCCAUCUCAAGGACAAAUCUCAUGCAACCCAUGGUGCUGCAUUUGACGCGAUCAUUUGUAAUUUGGUAGUGACUAUUAUCCGUGUAAUGUACAAGCUUUGGAUUAUUUUUUGUUGUAAAUGAUGGCAAUGUGGUUUUAGUGAUGUACUCCCUCCAUUCCGAAUUACUUGUCGCAGGUAUGGAUGUAUCUAGAUGUAUUUUAGUUCGAGAUACAUCCAUUUCUGCGACAAGUAAUUUGGAACGGAGGGAGUACCUUUGAUGGUUGUUGUAAUUGAAUGAAACAAUUUAAUGGAAAUUUGUGCGC